RNAcentral lists this ribosomal RNA (253 nucleotides) under uncultured bacterium. RNAcentral's name for it is "partial 16S ribosomal RNA". It matches the Rfam family "Bacterial small subunit ribosomal RNA", at positions 524 to 776 of the family's 1533-position model. The record is from RNAcentral.
UACGGGGGGGGCAAGCGUUGUUCGGAAUUACUGGGCGUAAAGGGCUCGUAGGUGGCCAACUAAGUCAGACGUGAAAUCCCUCGGCUUAACCGGGGAACUGCGUCUGAUACUGGAUGGCUUGAGUUCGGGAGAGGGAUGCGGAAUUCCAGGUGUAGCGGUGAAAUGCGUAGAUAUCAGGAGGAACACCGGUGGCGAAGGCGGGUCUCUGGGCCGUAACUGACGCUGAGGAGCGAAAGCGUGGGGAGCGAACAGG